CGGCCUACGGGAGGCAGCAGUAGGGAAUCUUCCACAAUGGGCGAAAGCCUGAUGGAGCAACGCCGCGUGGAGGAUGAAGGUUUUCGGAUUGUAAACUCCUUUUGUUAGAGAAGAUAAUGACGGUACCUGGGGAGGAAGCUCCGGCUAACUACGUGCCAGCAGCCGCGGUAAUACGUAGGGAGCGAGCGUUGUCCGGAAUUACUGGGUGUAAAGGGAGCGUAGGCGGGGAUGCAAGUUGGGUGUCAAAACUACCGGCUCAACUGGUAGUCGCACUCAAAACUGCAGCUCUUGAGUGAAGUAGAGGG
This 305-nucleotide ribosomal RNA is filed under the name uncultured bacterium. RNAcentral describes it as "bacterial SSU rRNA". It matches the Rfam family "Bacterial small subunit ribosomal RNA", at positions 332 to 658 of the family's 1533-position model. The record is from RNAcentral.